Molecule: ribosomal RNA, 253 nt
Filed under: uncultured bacterium
Lineage: Bacteria
Description: partial 16S ribosomal RNA
Rfam family: Bacterial small subunit ribosomal RNA
Source: RNAcentral
UACGGAGGGGGCUAGCGUUGUUCGGAAUUACUGGGCGUAAAGCGCGCGUAGGCGGACCUGCAAGUCGGGGGUGAAAGCCCGAGGCUCAACCUCGGAACUGCCUUCGAUACUGCGGGUCUCGAGUCCGGGAGAGGUGAGUGGAAUUCCUAGUGUAGAGGUGAAAUUCGUUGAUAGCAUAACGACUGGUAACGGCGAAAGCAACCUUUUAUCUAAUAACUGACGUUGAGGGACGAAGGCUCGGGUAACGAACAGG